This 428-nucleotide ribosomal RNA is filed under the name uncultured Desulfatitalea sp. Its description in RNAcentral is "bacterial SSU rRNA". It matches the Rfam family "Bacterial small subunit ribosomal RNA", at positions 355 to 774 of the family's 1533-position model. The record is from RNAcentral. Lineage: Bacteria; Pseudomonadati; Thermodesulfobacteriota; Desulfobacteria; Desulfobacterales; Desulfosarcinaceae.
UGAGGAAUUUUGCGCAAUGGGGGAAACCCUGACGCAGCAACGCCGCGUGGGUGAUGAAGGCCUUUGGGUCGUAAAGCCCUGUCAAGUGGGAAGAACCCGCAUGGUGCGAAUAAUGCCAUGCGCUGACGGUACCACUGAAGGAAGCACCGGCUAACUCCGUGCCAGCAGCCGCGGUAAUACGGGGGGUGCGAGCGUUAUUCGGAAUCAUUGGGCGUAAAGGGCGCGUAGGCGGCUACCUAAGUCAGGCGUGAAAGCCCGGGGCUUAACCCCGGAAGUGCGUUUGAAACUGGGUGGCUUGAGUAUGGGAGAGGGAAGCGGAAUUCCUGGUGUAGAGGUGAAAUUCGUAGAUAUUAGGAGGAACACCAGUGGCGAAGGCGGCUUUCUGGUCUGGUCCUGACGCUGAGGAGCGAAAGCCAGGGGAGCGAACG